This 383-nucleotide ribosomal RNA is filed under the name uncultured bacterium. Its description in RNAcentral is "bacterial SSU rRNA". It matches the Rfam family "Bacterial small subunit ribosomal RNA", at positions 28 to 402 of the family's 1533-position model. The record is from RNAcentral.
GACGAACGCUGGCGGCGUGCUUAACACAUGCAAGUCGAGCGGGAUCCAACCGGUGGCAACACCGGGGAAGAUCUAGCGGCGAACGGGUGAGUAACACGUGAGCAACCUGCCCCGAAGACUGGGAUAACACCGGGAAACCGGUGCUAAUACCGGAUGUCGUCAUUAGGCCGCAUGACCUGAUGAUGAAAGGAUUCAUCGCUUCGGGAGGGGCUCGCGGGCUAUCAGCUUGNGGUGGGGUAACGGCCUACCAAGGCGACGACGGCUAGCUGGUCUGAGAGGACGACCAGCCACACUGGGACUGAGACACGGCCCAGACUCCUACGGGAGGCAGCAGGUGGGGAAUCUUGCGCAAUGGGCGAAAGCCUGACGCAGCAACGCCGCGU